This 501-nucleotide ribosomal RNA is filed under the name uncultured bacterium. RNAcentral describes it as "partial 16S ribosomal RNA". It matches the Rfam family "Bacterial small subunit ribosomal RNA", at positions 30 to 523 of the family's 1533-position model. The record is from RNAcentral.
AUUGAACGCUGGCGGAAUGCUUUACACAUGCAAGUCGAACGGCAGCAUAGGUGCUUGCACCUGAUGGCGAGUGGCGAACGGGUGAGUAAUACAUCGGAACGUGCCCAGUCGUGGGGGAUAGCGUAGCGAAAGUUACGCUAAUACCGCAUACGAUCUAAGGAUGAAAGCGGGGGACCGUAAGGCCUCGCGCGAUUGGAGCGGCCGAUGUCAGAUUAGGUAGUUGGUGAGGUAAAGGCUCACCAAGCCGACGAUCUGUAGCUGGUCUGAGAGGACGACCAGCCACACUGGGACUGAGACACGGCCCAGACUCCUACGGGAGGCAGCAGUGGGGAAUUUUGGACAAUGGACGCAAGUCUGAUCCAGCCAUUCCGCGUGCAGGACGAAGGCCUUCGGGUUGUAAACUGCUUUUGUACGGAACGAAACGCUUCGAGCUAAUACCUCGGAGUAAUGACGGUACCUGAAGAAUAGCACCGGCUAACUACGUGCCAGCCGCCACGGUAA